CUCCAGGAUGCCAAUGGACUAUGUUUACUGGACAAUUUAGGAGAAUGGUGUAAGAGGUAGACUGUGAAAAGCUUUGGAAUUCAACAAUGGGAUCUUCCAAGAGCACUGAGAGGUUAUGAUGUUACCAGAUAGAAAUAAAUUUCGUUGGAAAAAGUCAGCUCCUGGUGAAGUGGGCAUUUCUGAGACAAGGCUUCCUUGUGGAUCAUGGGCCAGAAACAAGAUGGACUGUGGAGCAAACACACCUGACCCUAGCCUUCAUGGAGCUGAUCUUAUAGUGGAUCCAUUUUCCUUAUGAUCGUGUAUCCCUUCAGCCUGAAGAACUACCUUGAGCAUU
Non-coding RNA from Delphinapterus leucas (beluga whale), 334 nucleotides. NCBI's taxonomy places the organism in Eukaryota, Metazoa, Chordata, Mammalia, Artiodactyla, Monodontidae. The record is from RefSeq and is a predicted model, not a curated record.